AGGCUUCAUACAUGCAAGUCGAGGGGCAGCAUAAAUUACUUGUAAUUUGAUGGCGACCGGCGAACGGGUGCGUAACGCGUAUGCAACUUACCUUUUACUAGAGAAUAGCCAAGAGAAAUUUUGAUUAAUGCUCUAUACACUUAUUAAUUCUCAUGAAUCUAUAAGAAAAGCUCCGGCGGUAAAAGAUGGGCAUGCGUCCUAUUAGCUUGUAGGUGAGGUAACGGCUCACCUAAGCUCCGAUAGGUAGGGGUCCUGAGAGGGAGAUCCCCCACACUGGUACUGAGACACGGACCAGACUUCUACGGAAGGCAGCAGUAAGGAAUAUUGGACAAUGGAGGCAACUCUGAUCCAGCCAUGCCGCGUGAAGGAAGACGGCCUUAUGGGUUGUAAACUUCUUUUAUACAGGAAGAAACCUUUCCACGUGUGGAAAGCUGACGGUACUGUAAGAAUAAGGAUCGGCUAACUCCGUGCCAGCAGCCGCGGUAAUACGGAGGAUCCAAGCGUUAUCCGGAAUUAUUGGGUUUAAAGGGUCCGCAGGCUGUUUGUUAAGUCAGAGGUGAAAUCCUACCGCUCAACGGUAGAACUGCCUUUGAUACUGGCAAACUUGAGUUAUUGUGAAGUAGUUAGAAUGUGUAGUGUAGCGGUGAAAUGCAUAGAUAUUACACAGAAUACCGAUUGCGAAAGCAGAUUACUAACAAUAUACUGACGCUGAGGGACGAAAGCGUGGGUAGCGAACAGGAUUAGAUACCCUGGUAGUCCACGCCGUAAACGAUGGUCACUAGCUGUUUGAUGUACAUUGGUACAUUGAGUGGCUAAGCGAAAGUGAUAAGUGACCCACCUGGG
Molecule: ribosomal RNA, 843 nt
Filed under: uncultured Flavobacteriaceae bacterium
Lineage: Bacteria; Pseudomonadati; Bacteroidota; Flavobacteriia; Flavobacteriales; Flavobacteriaceae
Description: bacterial SSU rRNA
Rfam family: Bacterial small subunit ribosomal RNA
Source: RNAcentral